ACGAACGCUGGCGGCGUGGAUAAGACAUGCAAGUCGAACGACGAUUUGAAGGUAGCAAUAUUUUCAAGUUGGAGUGGCGCAAGGGUGCGUAACACGUGGGUAAUUUGCCGUAAAGCCCGGAAUAACUCGUUGAAAAACGAACUAAUACCGGAUGUGAUUUUUGGAAGGCAUCUUCUGAAACUUAAAGUUGGGGACCGCAAGGCCUGACACUUUUCGAUAAGCCCGCGGCCUAUCAGCUAGUUGGUGAGGUAACGGCUCACCAAGGCUAAGACGGGUAGCUGGUCUGAGAGGACGACCAGCCUCACUGGAACUGAGACACGGUCCAGACACCUACGGGUGGCAGCAGUGGGGAAUUUUGCACAAUGGGCGAAAGCCUGAUGCAGCAACGCCGCGUGUGUGAUGAAGGCCUUCGGGUUGU
This 418-nucleotide ribosomal RNA is filed under the name uncultured bacterium. RNAcentral's name for it is "bacterial SSU rRNA". It matches the Rfam family "Bacterial small subunit ribosomal RNA", at positions 29 to 426 of the family's 1533-position model. The record is from RNAcentral.